GCCGACGUAGCUCAGUUGGUAGAGCAGCUGAUUCGUAAUCAGCAGGUCGCCGGUUCGAGUCCGGCCGUCGGCUCCA
This 76-nucleotide transfer RNA is filed under the name bacterium. RNAcentral describes it as "tRNA-Thr". It matches the Rfam family "tRNA". Rfam says of the family: Transfer RNA (tRNA) molecules are approximately 80 nucleotides in length. Their secondary structure includes four short double-helical elements and three loops (D, anti-codon, and T loops). The record is from RNAcentral. RNAcentral also lists the same sequence under 12 other names.